UAAAAUUUUAACAAAAUUAAUUCAAAACAAUAAUACUCAUGUACUUGGCUUUAACCCCGGAAAGGGAGUUUCUAGCCAAUAAUAUUCAUAAUCACAAUUCAAAUAAUUAAAUACAUGAUAUGAAUUAUUAACAAGCUAAUUAAAGAAUGAAAAAUAAAAUGUAAAAUGUGAAGCAGCCUCCAUAAAUAUUCCACGACGUCCCCUACGUAAUAAUGAUCCAGAAUAAUCCAAGUUGUGUGUAUAUAUAAUAACCUUAUCCUAAUCCUUCUAGGAUUAAAAUCACAAUGAUCCAAAGAUUCCCAUAUACCAAGACACCUAACCACGUGAAAUAUAUUAUAUUCAAAGUAUAUGCUAAUAUAUCUAUCCAUGUAACAGUGGAACUUGUCCAAAAUUGGAGCAAUGCAACGAAGGGAGCGACGCACGUAAAGGAUCACCGCAAUGAACCCUGCUUCGCGAGCAUGGCUACACCGAAAUAACGGACGUGUUGCAGUCUAUCCACGUGAUGCCACUAGAAUUAAUAUUCAUAAUAUUUUUGAAGGCACAAGAGCACACUAUGGACCAUACGACGCGUGCAAAUCGCGCACACACUGCAAGUUGCAUCCAAAAUUUUGGUUAAG
RNAcentral lists this long non-coding RNA (617 nucleotides) under Capsicum annuum. Its description in RNAcentral is "long non-coding RNA (CANN_LNC017436)". Lineage: Eukaryota; Viridiplantae; Streptophyta; Magnoliopsida; Solanales; Solanaceae. The record is from RNAcentral.